Ixodes scapularis (black-legged tick) is the source of this 73-nucleotide non-coding RNA. NCBI's taxonomy places the organism in Eukaryota, Metazoa, Arthropoda, Arachnida, Ixodida, Ixodidae. The record is from Rfam.
UCCUGGUUAGCUCAGUUGGUAGAGCGCUUCAUUGCAAAUAGAGAGGUCCCUGGUUGAAUACAAGGACCAGGUG